This 253-nucleotide ribosomal RNA is filed under the name uncultured bacterium. Its description in RNAcentral is "partial 16S ribosomal RNA". It matches the Rfam family "Bacterial small subunit ribosomal RNA", at positions 524 to 776 of the family's 1533-position model. The record is from RNAcentral.
UACAGAGGUCUCAACCGUUGUUCGGAUUCAUUGGGCGUAAAGGGUGCGUAGGCGGUCGCGUAAGUCGGAUGUGAAAUCUCAGGGCUCAACCCUGAAACUGCAUUCGAUACUGCGUGGCUAGGGUACUGGAGAGGAGACUGGAAUUUACGGUGUAGCAGUGAAAUGCGUAGAUAUCGUAAGGAAGACCAGUGGCGAAGGCGAGUCUCUGGACAGUUACCUACGCUGAGGCACGAAGGCCAGGGGAGCAAACGGG